CCCACCAGGCUCCGCUGUCCAUGGAUUUUCCAGGCAAGAGUGCUGGAGUGGGGUGCCAUUGCCUUCUAGAUGCUGAGUUAUUUAUUUUUACCAAUAAAUGUCAGCCUUCUGAAAUCUACUGAGAUUGUCUUAUGGAUCAGCAUAGGAUCAAUCUCUGACCAUUCCAUGUGUACUUAAAUGUGUAUUUGCUGUUUGGUGGUGUAGUGGGCCACAAAAACUGUGAAGAUUAGUAUGGUUGCUUAUGUUAAUAAGGAUUGCAAAAAUCUUCACUUUUUCUAUGUUAUUCUAUAUAUCAGUGACAGAAAUAUGUGUUAAAAUCUCCAGCUAUGAAUUUGUCUACAUCUCCCUUAGUUCUGUAGCUUUUUUUCCCCUACAUAUUUUGAAAUUCUGAUAUUAAGUAGAUGUUUAAUUUCUGAUUUAGUGAUUUUUUUUUUUAUCAUGAAUAGUCCAUCUUUGUCUCUAGUAAUACUUUUUGUCUUUAAGUCAUUUUGAAUGAUAAAUAGAGCAACUUUAGCUUUUCAAGCUUAAUGUUUCCAUGGUAUAUAUUUUUCCAUAUGAAACUUUCAACAUAUUGUUAUCUUUGUAGUUAAAGAGCAUCUCUGCCUUUUGUUAGGUUGCUAACUCCAUUUAAAUAGAAUAUAAUUACUAUAUGGCUGCAUUUAAGCAUGCCAUUUUAUUAUAUGUUGGCCAUCUGUCUCUUGACUUCUUUUGUUUCUCUCAUCCUCCUAUCUUCUGCUUUAAACAAUUAGGUUUUAAAACGUAUGUUUGUUUCUGGGCCUUUUGGCUAAGAUCAAGUGUAGUUUUUAAGUGUGCAUUGCAAUUCUUUCUGUAUUUAUUUACAUUAUUUUUUAUUUGUUGCUGUCUGAAUUAGAGUAUACAUCUUUAAUUUACCACAAUUUAUACUUUUUAUCGAAUUGCUUCAGGUAAAAUAUAUAGUAGACUUGCAACAGUAUAUUUUCAUUCACAAAAGUAUAGUGAGUUCCAGACAAAAGGAACAGUAUGCGCAGAGGCAUGAGAACAAUGGAGAACACCCUGUGAUUGGGGAAUUAAAAUAUGUAGUCCAGAAUGGUUUGAGCAAACCCGGAAGAGAAAUGGAGGGGAAAAGAGGCUGAGAGUAAUGGUUUGGGAAAAUGUUAUUUCAUUGUUUGGAUCCCUUAAUUGGGCUCUGUGUCCAGCAUGGAAAUGACAGAUUUAACCAUGGCUGCAACUCAACCAGAAAGGAGUUCAAUGAAGGGAGGAAAUGGAAACUUUCAACAUCAAGACUCUUCUUUUAAUAUGCAAGGAGGAAGUGGAAACGGCCAACAUGAAAGCCAAAUUUGGAGGAUAUCUGAUGUGUCUUAUAUUUUCUAAACAAAAUGGGGUGAUGAAAUUGCUCAGUGGUUUAUGCAGGAGAGGUAUGAAGGCAAAAGAAGAAGGGGACGACAGAGGACAAGAUGGUUGGAUGGCAUCACUGACUUUAUGGAUAUGAGUCUGAGUGAACUCCAGGAGUUGGUGAUGGACAGGGAGGCCUGGUGUGCUGCAGUCCAUGGGGUUGCAAAGAGUCGGACACGACUUACUGCCUGAGGGCCCAUGAGCCUCCCAGAUGACAUGAUAGUAAAGGACUAAUAUAACAUCCAUACUGGCUUUAUCAUGCCUGUUGCCCUCAUUGGCAUGGGGAAAAUUCAUUUGUAAAAAUGAUGGGUAAAAACCCAUCAAUGUAGAGAAACCCCAGUACAGCAGCAGCUUCCUUCCCUGUACCACAGAGAGACAAUCAAGCCUAACAAUUAUUCUCUAGAUUUCUUAGGAAGAAGUCAGACCAAAGUCAUGGUGUGCCCUGAACUACAGUGGAAGACUGAAGGAUUCCAGCAGAGCCUGUUGAAGCACUUACCUCCUGACCUGUGAAGAAAGGAAUUCAGUCAUGUGGGUACACCUAUGCAUGGGAGUCUGGGAAAUGAAGUUUAGCUAUGUGCCUAUGAGGAAGAGGAAGCAGGCUUGCAAUUAACUGAUGACUGAUGCGAAGAACUGACUCAUUUGAAAAGAC
Bubalus bubalis (water buffalo) is the source of this 2020-nucleotide long non-coding RNA. RefSeq lists it as uncharacterized. The transcript has 6 exons. NCBI's taxonomy places the organism in Eukaryota, Metazoa, Chordata, Mammalia, Artiodactyla, Bovidae. The record is from RefSeq and is a predicted model, not a curated record.